RNAcentral lists this ribosomal RNA (393 nucleotides) under uncultured eukaryote. Its description in RNAcentral is "SSU rRNA". It matches the Rfam family "Eukaryotic small subunit ribosomal RNA", at positions 587 to 972 of the family's 1831-position model. The record is from RNAcentral.
AGCUCCAAUAGCGUAUAUUAAAAUUGCUGCAGUUAAAAAGCUCGUAGUUGGAUUUCUGGUGUGGUGCGCCGAGCCCGCAUCCGUUUAGGAUGUGUGUGCUUGCUGUGCGCCUACCAUCCUUCCGGAGAGGCCGAUCUGCCCUUAACUGGAACGGGUCGCGUCGAUCUGGAUCGUUUACUUUGAAAAAAUUAGAGUGUUUAAAGCAGGCGUUUGCUAUGAAUACAUUAGCAUGGAAUAAUAAGAUAGGACUUUGGUUCUAUUUUGUUGGUUUCUAGGACUGAAGUAAUGAUUGAUAGGGACAGUUGGGGGUGCUAGUAUUUAACGGCCAGAGGUGAAAUUCUUGGAUUCGUUAAAGACUAACUUAUGCGAAAGCAUUCACCAAGGAUGUCUUCU